This 524-nucleotide ribosomal RNA is filed under the name uncultured bacterium. RNAcentral describes it as "partial 16S ribosomal RNA". It matches the Rfam family "Bacterial small subunit ribosomal RNA", at positions 28 to 523 of the family's 1533-position model. The record is from RNAcentral.
GACGAACGCUGGCGGCGUGCCUAAUACAUGCAAGUCGAGCGCAGGAAAUCGACGGAACCCUUCGGGGGGAAGUCGACGGAAUGAGCGGCGGACGGGUGAGUAACACGUAAAGAACCUGCCCUCAGGUCUGGGAUAACCACGAGAAAUCGGGGCUAAUACCGGAUGGGUCAUCGGACCGCAUGGUCCGAGGAUGAAAGGCGCUUCGGCGUCGCCUGGGGAUGGCUUUGCGGUGCGUUAGCUAGUUGGUGGGGUAAGGGCCCACCAAGGCGACGAUGCAUAGCCGACCUGAGAGGGUGAUCGGCCACACUGGGACUGAGACACGGCCCAGACUCCUACGGGAGGCAGCAGUAGGGAAUCUUCCACAAUGGACGAAAGUCUGAUGGAGCAACGCCGCGCGAACGAUGAAGGCCUUCGGGUCGUAAAGUUCUGUUGUAAGGGAAGAACAAGUGCCGCAGGCAAUGGCGGCACCUUGACGGUACCUUGCGAGAAAGCCACGGCUAACUACGUGCCAGCCGCCGCCGUAA